GGACCUUUAGCUCAGUUGGUUAGAGCAACCGGCUCAUAACCGGGCGGUCCUGGGUUCGAGUCCCCGAAGGUCCA
Molecule: transfer RNA, 74 nt
Filed under: Mediterraneibacter torques
Lineage: Bacteria; Bacillati; Bacillota; Clostridia; Lachnospirales; Lachnospiraceae
Description: [Ruminococcus] torques tRNA-Ile
Rfam family: tRNA
About the family: Transfer RNA (tRNA) molecules are approximately 80 nucleotides in length. Their secondary structure includes four short double-helical elements and three loops (D, anti-codon, and T loops). Further hydrogen bonds mediate the characteristic L-shaped molecular structure. tRNAs have two regions of fundamental functional importance: the anti-codon, which is responsible for specific mRNA codon recognition, and the 3' end, to which the tRNAs corresponding amino acid is attached (by aminoacyl-tRNA synthetases). tRNAs cope with the degeneracy of the genetic code in two manners: having more than one tRNA (with a specific anti-codon) for a particular amino acid; and 'wobble' base-pairing, i.e. permitting non-standard base-pairing at the 3rd anti-codon position.
Source: RNAcentral